RNAcentral lists this ribosomal RNA (604 nucleotides) under Bradyrhizobium japonicum. Its description in RNAcentral is "bacterial SSU rRNA". It matches the Rfam family "Bacterial small subunit ribosomal RNA", at positions 85 to 724 of the family's 1533-position model. The record is from RNAcentral. Lineage: Bacteria; Pseudomonadati; Pseudomonadota; Alphaproteobacteria; Hyphomicrobiales; Nitrobacteraceae.
CAAUACGUCAGCGGCAGACGGGUGAGUAACGCGUGGGAACGUACCUUUUGGUUCGGAACAACACAGGGAAACUUGUGCUAAUACCGGAUAAGCCCUUACGGGGAAAGAUUUAUCGCCGAAAGAUCGGCCCGCGUCUGAUUAGCUAGUUGGUAGGGUAACGGCCUACCAAGGCGACGAUCAGUAGCUGGUCUGAGAGGAUGAUCAGCCACAUUGGGACUGAGACACGGCCCAAACUCCUACGGGAGGCAGCAGUGGGGAAUAUUGGACAAUGGGGGCAACCCUGAUCCAGCCAUGCCGCGUGAGUGAUGAAGGCCCUAGGGUUGUAAAGCUCUUUUGUGCGGGAAGAUAAUGACGGUACCGCAAGAAUAAGCCCCGGCUAACUUCGUGCCAGCAGCCGCGGUAAUACGAAGGGGGCUAGCGUUGCUCGGAAUCACUGGGCGUAAAGGGUGCGUAGGCGGGUCUUUAAGUCAGGGGUGAAAUCCUGGAGCUCAACUCCAGAACUGCCUUUGAUACUGAAGAUCUUGAGUUCGGGAGAGGUGAGUGGAACUGCGAGUGUAGAGGUGAAAUUCGUAGAUAUUCGCAAGAACACCAGUGGCGAAGGCGG